UUUUCCGGUUGAUCCUGCCGGACCCGACUGCUAUUUGGGUGAGGAUAAGCCAUGCGAGUUGAAUGGGAUACCUAAAAUUCCCAUAGCAAACUGCUCAGUAACACAUGAUCAACUUACCCUAUGGAGAAAAAUAAUCUCGGGAAACUGAGGAUAAUGUUUCAUAGUUGAAUAGGCUUGGAAAAGUUUUUCAAUGAAAGGGCUAAGAUAAAUGGAUCUUAGUUGCCAUAGGAUAGGAUCGUGCUCGAUUAUGGUUGUUGGUGAGGUAACGGCUCACCAAGCCGAUAAUCGAUAGGGGCCGUGAGAGCGGGAGCCCCGAGAUGGGUACUGAGACAGCGACCCAGACCUUACGAGGUGCAGCAGGCGCGAAACCUCCGCAAUACACGAAAGUGUGACGGGGUUACCCAAAGUGUCCAUUAUUGGACUGUGGUAGGUGAGUAAUGUCCCCUACUAGAAAGGAGAGGGCAAGGCUGGUGCCAGCCGCCGCGGUAAAACCAGCUCUUCAAGUGGUCGGGAUGAUUAUUGGGCUUAAAGUGUCCGUAGCCGGUUUAGUAAGUUCCUGGUAAAAUCGAGUAGCUUAACUAUUUGUAUGCUAGGAAUACUGCUAUACUAGAGGGCGGGAGAGGUCUGAGGUACUACAGGGGUAGGGGUGAAAUCUUAUAAUCCUUGUAGGACCGCCAGUGGCGAAGGCGUCAGACUGGAACGUGCCUGACGGUGAGGGACGAAAGCCAGGGGAGCGAACCGGAUUAGAUACCCGGGUAGUCCUGGCCGUAAACGAUGCAUACUAGGUGAUGGCACGGCCAUGAGCCGUGUCAGUGCCGUAGGGAAACCGUUAAGUGUGCCGCCUGGGAAGUACGGUCGCAAGGCUAAAACUUAAAGGAAUUGGCGGGGGAGCAC
Molecule: ribosomal RNA, 894 nt
Filed under: uncultured archaeon
Lineage: Archaea
Description: bacterial SSU rRNA
Rfam family: Archaeal small subunit ribosomal RNA
Source: RNAcentral